CGGCCGCGUCGACCACAUGCAAGUCGAGCGAUGUAAAUUUUCUUACGGAAAAUGGAUUAGCGGCGGACGGGUGAGUAACACGUGGGUAACCUGCCCUAUAGAGAGGGAUAGCCUUCCGAAAGGGAGAUUAAUACCUCAUAAUAUCCUAGUAUCGCAUGAUAUAUGGAUUAAAGGAGCAAUCCACUAUAGGAUGGACCCGCGGCGCAUUAGCUAGUUGGUGAGGUAACGGCUCACCAAGGCGACGAUGCGUAGCCGACCUGAGAGGGUGAUCGGCCACAUUGGGACUGAGACACGGCCCAGACUCCUACGGGAGGCAGCAGGUGGGAAUAUUGGCACAAUGGGGGAAACCCUGAUGCAGCAACGCCGCGUGAGGGACUGGAGGCCUUCGGGUGUAAACCUCCUUGCCAGUGAAGCAGGCCUGGCUCCUGUGGUGGGUUG
Molecule: ribosomal RNA, 438 nt
Filed under: uncultured bacterium
Lineage: Bacteria
Description: bacterial SSU rRNA
Rfam family: Bacterial small subunit ribosomal RNA
Source: RNAcentral